Molecule: ribosomal RNA, 447 nt
Filed under: uncultured bacterium
Lineage: Bacteria
Description: bacterial SSU rRNA
Rfam family: Bacterial small subunit ribosomal RNA
Source: RNAcentral
UCGGGAAUUUUGGGCAAUGGGCGAAAGCCUGACCCAGCAACGCCGCGUGAAGGAUGAAGUAUUUCGGUAUGUAAACUUCGUAAGAAUAGGAAGAAUAAAUGACGGUACUAUUUGUAAGGUCCGGCUAACUACGUGCCAGCAGCCGCGGUAAUACGUAGGGACCAAGCGUUGUUCGGAUUUACUGGGCUUAAAGGGUGCGUAGGCGGUGCGGUAAGUGCGGUGUGAAAUCCCACGGCUCAACCGUGGAAUUGCGCUGCAUACUGCCGUGCUAGAGGGAGACAGGGGUAAGCGGAACUGAUGGUGGAGCGGUGAAAUGCGUUGAUAUCAUCAGGAACACCGGUGGCGAAAGCGGCUUACUGGGUCUCUUCUGACGCUGAGGCACGAAAGCUAGGGUAGCGAACGGGAUUAGAUACCCUGGUAGUCCCUGAGCGGGCUGGCAAGGCGCAU